GAUGAACGCUGACAGAAUGCUUAACACAUGCAAGUCAACUUGAACUUCGGUUUGGGUGGCGGACGGGUGAGUAACGCGUAAAGAACUUGCCUCACAGCUAGGGACAACAUUUGGAAACGAAUGCUAAUACCUGAUAUUAUGAUUUUAGGGCAUCCUAUAAUUAUGAAAGCUAUAUGCGCUGUGAGAGAGCUUUGCGUCCCAUUAGCUAGUUGGAGAGGUAACGGCUCACCAAGGCGAUGAUGGGUAGCCGGCCUGAGAGGGUGAACGGCCACAAGGGGACUGAGACACGGCCCUUACUCAUACGGGAGGCAGCAGUGGGGAAUAUUGGACAAUGGACCAAGAGUCUGAUCCAGCAAUUCUGUGUGCACGAUGAAGUUUUUCGGAAUGUAAAGUGCUUUCAGUUGGGAAGAAAAAAAUGACGGUACCAACAGAAGAAGUGACGGCUAAAUACGUG
Molecule: ribosomal RNA, 454 nt
Filed under: uncultured bacterium
Lineage: Bacteria
Description: partial 16S ribosomal RNA
Rfam family: Bacterial small subunit ribosomal RNA
Source: RNAcentral